UUCAAGCUACGAAUUUUCUCCCAUCUUCAAGCUAUAAGAUCUCUCCAUCAUUAUUGCUCACACAUCACGAAAGAUUAUCGCCAUCUUUGUGAUUCGUUCGUGAGUGUCUCCAUCAUUCCAAAGAGUCAGGCUGCAAUGAGGUGGAAAGGUGGAUGUGGAAAUAUAUAGUUGUAGUCUGCAACGAGUUAUGUACGUAAACAUUGUAUGUGUGGAGGUCCAUUAACGAUGCAUACAAGAUAUUUUAAAAUGUGUGAGCGGACAUCUAUCCAGCAAUCUCACGGGUAUCGGUUUCCUUGUGAAAGAAGCCAUCUCCAUAUGCAUAUAUGGAUAACUCCUUUUGUUGUCAUAUACAAGAAUAAAUUUUGUUUCUAGCUAUACAAUAUACAUAAAGAACAGAGAAGUAAUAAUCUGAUAGUAAUU
This is a long non-coding RNA of Vigna radiata var. radiata (mung bean), 420 nucleotides long. RefSeq lists it as uncharacterized. Lineage: Eukaryota; Viridiplantae; Streptophyta; Magnoliopsida; Fabales; Fabaceae. The record is from RefSeq and is a predicted model, not a curated record. The transcript has 3 exons.